RNAcentral lists this ribosomal RNA (1009 nucleotides) under Klebsiella pneumoniae. RNAcentral describes it as "bacterial SSU rRNA". It matches the Rfam family "Bacterial small subunit ribosomal RNA", at positions 42 to 1042 of the family's 1533-position model. The record is from RNAcentral. Lineage: Bacteria; Pseudomonadati; Pseudomonadota; Gammaproteobacteria; Enterobacterales; Enterobacteriaceae.
GCAGGCCUAACACAUGCAAGUCGAGCGGUAGCACAGAGAGCUUGCUCUCGGGUGACGAGCGGCGGACGGGUGAGUAAUGUCUGGGAAACUGCCUGAUGGAGGGGGAUAACUACUGGAAACGGUAGCUAAUACCGCAUAACGUCGCAAGACCAAAGUGGGGGACCUUCGGGCCUCAUGCCAUCAGAUGUGCCCAGAUGGGAUUAGCUAGUAGGUGGGGUAACGGCUCACCUAGGCGACGAUCCCUAGCUGGUCUGAGAGGAUGACCAGCCACACUGGAACUGAGACACGGUCCAGACUCCUACGGGAGGCAGCAGUGGGGAAUAUUGCACAAUGGGCGCAAGCCUGAUGCAGCCAUGCCGCGUGUGUGAAGAAGGCCUUCGGGUUGUAAAGCACUUUCAGCGGGGAGGAAGGCGUUAAGGUUAAUAACCUUGGCGAUUGACGUUACCCGCAGAAGAAGCACCGGCUAACUCCGUGCCAGCAGCCGCGGUAAUACGGAGGGUGCAAGCGUUAAUCGGAAUUACUGGGCGUAAAGCGCACGCAGGCGGUCUGUCAAGUCGGAUGUGAAAUCCCCGGGCUCAACCUGGGAACUGCAUUCGAAACUGGCAGGCUAGAGUCUUGUAGAGGGGGGUAGAAUUCCAGGUGUAGCGGUGAAAUGCGUAGAGAUCUGGAGGAAUACCGGUGGCGAAGGCGGCCCCCUGGACAAAGACUGACGCUCAGGUGCGAAAGCGUGGGGAGCAAACAGGAUUAGAUACCCUGGUAGUCCACGCCGUAAACGAUGUCGAUUUGGAGGUUGUGCCCUUGAGGCGUGGCUUCCGGAGCUAACGCGUUAAAUCGACCGCCUGGGGAGUACGGCCGCAAGGUUAAAACUCAAAUGAAUUGACGGGGGCCCGCACAAGCGGUGGAGCAUGUGGUUUAAUUCGAUGCAACGCGAAGAACCUUACCUGGUCUUGACAUCCACAGAACUUUCCAGAGAUGGAUUGGUGCCUUCGGGAACUGUGAGACAGGUGCU